Molecule: ribosomal RNA, 303 nt
Filed under: uncultured microorganism
Description: bacterial SSU rRNA
Rfam family: Archaeal small subunit ribosomal RNA
Source: RNAcentral
GCGCAGCAGUCGAGAAACCUUCGCAAUGCAGGAAACUGCGACGAGGGAACUCCAAGUGCCUACGGCUCAGCGUAGGCUGUUCUCAAGCCUAGAAAGCUUGAGGAGUAAGGGCUGGGUAAGACGGGUGCCAUCUGUGGUAGCAGUCAAUAGAUUCGAUUUUGUUACUGCAAGGCAUUAAGCCGCCGCGGUAAUACCCGCAGCCCAAGUGGUGGCCGCUUUUAUUGGGGCCUAAAGCGUCCGUAGCCCGGCCCGGUAAAUGCCUGGGGUAAAUCGUGGAGCCCAACUUCACGAAUUCCGGGUAGA